Molecule: ribosomal RNA, 258 nt
Filed under: uncultured bacterium
Lineage: Bacteria
Description: partial 16S ribosomal RNA
Rfam family: Bacterial small subunit ribosomal RNA
Source: RNAcentral
UGGCGGACGGGUGAGUAACGCGUGGGUAACCUGCCCUAUACAGGGGGAUAACAGUUAGAAAUGACUGCUAAUACCGCAUAAGCGCACAGGACCGCAUGGUUCGGUGUGAAAAACUGAGGUGGUAUAGGAUGGACCCGCGUCUGAUUAGCUUGUUGGUGGGGUAACGGCCCACCAAGGCGACGAUCAGUAGCCGGCCUGAGAGGGCGACCGGCCACAUUGGGACUGAGACACGGCCCAAACUCCUACGGAAGGCAGCAG